This 483-nucleotide ribosomal RNA is filed under the name uncultured bacterium. Its description in RNAcentral is "partial 16S ribosomal RNA". It matches the Rfam family "Bacterial small subunit ribosomal RNA", at positions 30 to 507 of the family's 1533-position model. The record is from RNAcentral.
AUUGAACGCUGGCGGCAGGCCUAACACAUGCAAGUCGAGCGGAUGAAGGGAGCUUGCUCCUGGAUUCAGCGGCGGACGGGUGAGUAAUGCCUAGGAAUCUGCCUGGUCGUGGGGGAUAACGUCCGGAAACGGGCGCUAAUACCGCAUACGUCCUGAGGGAGAAAGUGGGGAUCUUCGGACCUCACGCUAUCAGAUGAGCCUAGGUCGGAUUAGCUAGUUGGUGGGGUAAAGGCCUACCAAGGCGACGAUCCGUAACUGGUCUGAGAGGAUGAUCAGUCACACUGGAACUGAGACACGGCACAGACUCCGACGGGAGGAAGCAGUGGGGAAUAUUGGACAAUGGGCGAAAGCCUGAUCCAGCCAUGCCGCGUGUGUGAAGAAGGUCUUCGGAUUGUAAAGCACUUUAAGUUGGGAGGAAGGGCAGUAAGUUAAUACCUUGCUGUUUUGACGGUACCAACAGAAUAAGCACCGGCUAACUUCGUG